CUACGGGGGGCAGCAGUGGGGAAUAUUGGACAAUGGGGGAAACCCUGAUCCAGCAAUGCCGCGUGUGUGAAGAAGGCCUGCGGGUUGUAAAGCACUUUCGGUUGGGAGGACUGCUUCUAGCACUAAUAUUGUUGGAAGUUGACGUUACCUUCAGAAGAAGCACCGGCUAACUCCGUGCCAGCAGCCGCGGUGAAUACGGAGGGUGCAAGCGUUAAUCGGAAUUACUGGGCGUAAAGCGCGCGUAGGCGGCUAGAUCAGUCGGGUGUGAAAGCCCCGGGCUUAACCUGGGAACUGCAUCCGAUACUGUCUAGCUUGAGUACAGGAGAGGAGAGUGGAAUUCCACAUGUAGCGGUGAAAUGCGUAGAUAUGUGGAGGAACACCAAUGGCGAAGGCAGCUCUCUGGCCUGAUACUGACGCUGAGGUGCGAAAGCGUGGGGAGCAAACAGGAUUAGAUACCCGGGUAGUC
This 466-nucleotide ribosomal RNA is filed under the name uncultured bacterium. RNAcentral's name for it is "partial 16S ribosomal RNA". It matches the Rfam family "Bacterial small subunit ribosomal RNA", at positions 339 to 795 of the family's 1533-position model. The record is from RNAcentral.